Molecule: non-coding RNA, 21 nt
Organism: Caenorhabditis elegans
Lineage: Eukaryota; Metazoa; Nematoda; Chromadorea; Rhabditida; Rhabditidae
Source: Ensembl
UUGCAGCUUUCAUUGUCCCUU